This 698-nucleotide long non-coding RNA is filed under the name Equus caballus (horse). Its description in RNAcentral is "lncRNA (ENSECAG00000035684.3)". The record is from RNAcentral. Lineage: Eukaryota; Metazoa; Chordata; Mammalia; Perissodactyla; Equidae.
CAAACUGCAAAGGUACACGGUAUAGGCUCCCGCUCCAGCCCUUUCUGUAACUGCCCCAGCUGUGAGCCUUGAGCGUUGUUAUGAGAAGAAAAUCUAGGCUAUUUCUCAUUUGCUCUCAGUUCUUCUUCAGCUGUCAAGACCUCUCUCAUUUAGAACAGCCGUGUGAGAAAACCAGGAGGCAGCAGAAACACAACUGGGAGACUCCUGGCUAAGGUCGAGACGUGUACGUGGGCUCCGUCUCUGUCAUCAGUCAUGAAGCCAAAUUAAACUGAAGCAUAAGCAUUGCCCUCCAUCAUGUUUAUCUGCAAGAUAUUAAUAAAAACACGGUGGCUGUUCAUUCCAUUUUUCACUUUUACUUGUCAUUACCUUGUUGCACCAAUCAAGCAAACAGAUGGUGAUCACUUAAUUGAAGUACAGAGGCUGAGCUUUACACCUAUAUUUCAUAACUGUCUGGACGAUGGAACCAUGUGCACGUUUUACCAACAGCCCUUGAGAGAGGUUAUCUUGCAUGGCUUAAGAGAUGUGCUCUCCCUGUCACCUCUUCCUGCAGCUCUUUAUCCUGCAGUACUGCAUCUCCCCUCCCUGGCUCCCUGUCUAGAGACAGACAGCAAAAUCUUUACUGCAGGCAUUUGACUGCUUCCUGCAGCACAGGAAGGAGCGCUGUGGGUCAUCCUAACAGCCAAACCCAUAAACAAGCU